CGCUAGUAUGGCUUUUUCAGUCAUGCCGUGAGCGGGAGAAGCCGGUGCAAACCCGGCGCUGACCCGCAACCGUGAGCGGGGGGCGGUCCCUUCGGCGCCCCCGUGAGCCGGAACGCCUGCCCGCG
Molecule: non-coding RNA, 125 nt
Organism: Streptomyces sp. MP131-18
Lineage: Bacteria; Bacillati; Actinomycetota; Actinomycetes; Kitasatosporales; Streptomycetaceae
Source: Rfam